CAGGCGCUUGUUUAUCAAAAACAUGUCUUUUUGAAAAUAAUUUAAAGUCUAACCUGCCCACUGAUUAAUUAAUUAAAGGGCCGCAGUAUUUUGACUGUGCAAAGGUAGCAUAAUCAUUUGUCUUUUAAUUAAAGGCUGGAAUGAAUGGUUGGACGUAAUAUUAACUGUCUCAUUUUAAUAAAAUUAAAAAUUUAGUUUUUUAGUCAAAAAGCUUAAAUAAUAUUAAAAGACGAGAAGACCCUAUAGAUCUUUAUAAUUAAUAUUAUAAUAAUUUUAUAGAAAUUUAAAAUAUUAUUAUAAUGUGACUUAUUUUAUUGGGGUGAUAGAAAAAUUUAAUUAACUUUUUUUAAUUAAUAAACAAAAAUUAUUGAUUUGAUUGAUCCAUAAUAUUAUGAUUAAAAGAUUAAGAUACCUUAGGGAUAACAGCGUAAUUUUUUUAGAGAGUUCUUAUCGAUAAAAAAGAUUGCGACCUCGAUGUUGAAUUAAAGUAAUUUUUAAAUGUAGAAGUUUAAAAUAAUAGGUCUGUUCGACCUUUAAAUCUUUACAUGAUCUGAGUUCAACCCGG
This 565-nucleotide ribosomal RNA is filed under the name Osmylops armatus. RNAcentral's name for it is "partial 16S ribosomal RNA". It matches the Rfam family "Bacterial large subunit ribosomal RNA", at positions 1793 to 2619 of the family's 2925-position model. The record is from RNAcentral. Lineage: Eukaryota; Metazoa; Arthropoda; Insecta; Neuroptera; Nymphidae.